Bactrocera neohumeralis is the source of this 1768-nucleotide long non-coding RNA. RefSeq lists it as uncharacterized. The record is from RefSeq and is a predicted model, not a curated record. Lineage: Eukaryota; Metazoa; Arthropoda; Insecta; Diptera; Tephritidae. The transcript has 3 exons.
AUGUUAACGUUUUCCUAUCAGCUGAUUUGCAAGUAGCAGAAGAUAAAUAUAUUGUAAAAAAUUGAAUCUGACGACGAAAGUGAUAUAGAGUGCGAGGUUUUAAUAAAUAUAUUUAUAAAUCGCCGCUCUCGUAUAAUGAGGGAAAGAAAAAAUUGUUUUACAUGUUAUGAUGACGUUGAUUUUCGGUAUAGAUUUCGUUUGACUAAACAGUCUGCUUGGAUGAUACUCGAACUGAUUUGGAACAAAACCCAGCACAAAACGAAGAAAUAAAAAUGGUGCUAUGUCUCCCGAAUUAAUGCUUUUACUAACAUUGCGUUUCUUUGCAACUGGCUGCAUGCAAAUAACUGACGGUGACCUAUGUGGCGUUUCAAAAAGUUCUUCCUGUCGCGCAAUAAGGAGAGUGUGCCACAACAUUUCAUUGUUAAGAGAACGCUUUGUAACCAUCCCAUUGGAAUUAGAAAGUCAAAGAGAAAUUCAGAGACAAUUUUAUAAAAUUGCAAAGUUUCCGCGCGUGCUAGUAUCUAUGGACUGCACACAUGUAAGAAUUCAAUCACCAGGUCACUAAAGUGGGGAGAAAGCAGAACUAUUCCGAAACCAAAAAAACUACUUCUCAAUUAAUGUGCAAACGUUUUGUGACAGCAAACUUAACAUAAAGGAUAUCGUAGCCCGUUGGCCAGGAUCGUCACAUGACGCCAUUGUACUGAAAAAUUCACGAAUAUUUAGCCAAUUUGAGGCAGGGGAGUUCGGAAAAGCAAUAGUCGAUGCCGACAGUGGCUAUUCUUGCGAUCGGUGGAUAAUGACACCUUUGUUAAAAGUGCAAACUCCGGCUGAGGCGUUAUACAAUGAAUCGCAAAUCAGAACUCGUAAUUGUGUUGAACGUCAAUACGGUGUGUGGAAACGAAGAUUUCCAGUUCUUGCGCUGGGAAUACGAAAGCACCUCGGGGUAGUAGAAAGUAUUAUAGUUGCAACGGUAGUUUUACAUAAUAUUUGUAACUUAAACAACGAUUACAACGCUCCAGCAGUCUACGCAAAUGAAAUAAAUAAUAUUAUCGAUGCAGUUGUUGAAGUACCAACAAUCUCAGCUUCGGUUCGAAAUGACAAUUUAUAUAGAAAACAUAUGAUACAAAACUAUUUUGAAAGUUUGUAAACUUCUUUUAAAUAUUAAACAAAAUCAACAUCUUUAUUCUUAUAUUCUUUUAUUUUAAAAUUCAGGUACAAAUUGUAGUAUUUAUGUUAAUACUGUUAAGGCACAUUUACAUAUACAUAUGUGCAAAAAUACAAAAACAAAAGCUUUACAAAUCCACAUUUCAAAAUUUGUAUUAACGUAUGUGUGUAUACAUACCAGAGACCUGCACGAUUAAGGUAGGCAUCGUACGAUUACGUUACUAAGUAACACUUCUGACGAUUACCACGAUGCGAAGGUAACAUUGCGCAUCGGCAUCGCGGCAUCGUGGCAUCGUACGAUUACUAUCUGGUAUCGUCAAUGGCAAAUGAAACGAAGUAUGUACAUACAUAAAAGAAAAUUCUUGUGAUUUUUCUUUCGUACUUACCUUAUAUUAGGAAAAAAUUAAUAAAAUUCUCUUCAUUUAAACAUAAAUUAAUUCAAUAAAACAUAACAUAACACAACAUAAAUUAAUUCAAUAAAUAAAAAUAAAUUAAAUAUAUCUCGUUAUUUUCGAUCAAAAUAAGCAACGAAUUAAAAAUAAAAAAAUAUUUAAUAUGAACUUAAUUUUUUUGUUGUGAAUGCAAAAAUAAAAUGACGUCCAGU